Molecule: small RNA, 545 nt
Filed under: Pongo abelii (Sumatran orangutan)
Lineage: Eukaryota; Metazoa; Chordata; Mammalia; Primates; Hominidae
Description: processed transcript
Source: RNAcentral
AGGGAAUCAAUUGGUCACAUCAGGAGGGCCUGGGGCUGGGCGUUAGUGCUGAUCAUCCUCAACUCUAUGCACAAGUACCAGCCGCGGCUCCACAUCGUUAAGGCUGAUGAGAACAAUGCUUUCGGCUCCAAAAACACUGCUUUCUGCACCCACGUGUUCCCAGAGACCUCCUUCAUCUCUGUGACCUCCUACCAGAAUCACAAGAUCACCCAGCUGAAAAUUGAGAACAACCCUUUUGCCAAGGGAUUCCGGGGCAGUGAUGACAGUGACCUGCGUGUGGCCCGACUGCAGAGCAAAGAAUACCCCGUGAUUUCCAAAAGCAUCAUGAGGCAGAGGCUCAUCUCCCCCCAGCUCUCGGCCACACCGGACGUGGGCCCCCUGCUCGGCACCCACCAGGCACUCCAGCACUACCAGCACGAGAACGGGGCACACUCGCAGCUCACGGAGCCUCAGGACCUGCCCCUCAGCACCUUUCCCACCCAGAGGGACUCAAGCCUCUUCUAUCACUGCCUGAAAAGACGAGGUUGUCUGUGGCUGCUUUCAUG